GCUCAGGACGAACGCUGGCGGCGUGCUUAACACAUGCAAGUCGAACGCUGAAGCUUGGUGCUUGCACUUAGGUGGAUGAGUGGCGAACGGGUGAGUAAUACGUGAGUAACCUGCCCUUGACUCUGGGAUAAGCCUGGGAAACUGGGUCUAAUACUGGAUAUGACCUCCUGUCGCAUGGUGGGGGGUGGAAAGGGUUUGUACUGGUUGUGGAUGGGCUCACGGCCUAUCAGCUUGUUGGUGGGGUAAUGGCCUACCAAGGCGACGACGGGUAGCCGGCCUGAGAGGGUGACCGGCCACACUGGGACUGAGACACGGCCCAGACUCCUACGGGAGGCAGCAGUGGGGAAUAUUGCACAAUGGGCGCAAGCCUGAUGCAGCGACGCCGCGUGAGGGAUGACGGCCUUCGGGUUGUAAACCUCUUUCAGCACGGAAGAAGCGAAAGUGACGGUACGUGCAGAAGAAGCGCCGGCUAACUACGUGCCAGCAGCCGCGGUAAUACGUAGGGCGCAAGCGUUGUCCGGAAUUAUUGGGCGUAAAGAGCUCGUAGGCGGUUUGUCGCGUCUGCUGUGAAAGCCCGGGGCUUAACCCCGGGUGUGCAGUGGGUACGGGCAGACUUGAGUGCAGUAGGGGAGACUGGAACUCCUGGUGUAGCGGUGAAAUGCGCAGAUAUCAGGAAGAACACCGAUGGCGAAGGCAGGUCUCUGGGCUGUUACUGACGCUGAGGAGCGAAAGCAUGGGGAGCGAAC
This 746-nucleotide ribosomal RNA is filed under the name Kocuria marina. RNAcentral's name for it is "bacterial SSU rRNA". It matches the Rfam family "Bacterial small subunit ribosomal RNA", at positions 22 to 773 of the family's 1533-position model. Lineage: Bacteria; Bacillati; Actinomycetota; Actinomycetes; Micrococcales; Micrococcaceae. The record is from RNAcentral.